This 506-nucleotide ribosomal RNA is filed under the name uncultured bacterium. RNAcentral describes it as "bacterial SSU rRNA". It matches the Rfam family "Bacterial small subunit ribosomal RNA", at positions 8 to 526 of the family's 1533-position model. The record is from RNAcentral.
AGAGUUUGAUCAUGGCUCAGGAUGAACGCUGGCGGCGUGCUUAACACAUGCAAGUCGAACGGAAAGGCCCAAGCUUGCUUGGGUACUCGAGUGGCGAACGGGUGAGUAACACGUGGGUGAUCUGCCCUGCACUUCGGGAUAAGCCUGGGAAACUGGGUCUAAUACUGGAUAGGACCACUUCUUGGAUGUUGUGGUGGAAAGUUUUUUCGGUGUGGGAUGAGCUCGCGGCCUAUCAGCUUGUUGGUGGGGUAAUGGCCUACCAAGGCGUCGACGGGUAGCCGGCCUGAGAGGGUGUACGGCCACAUUGGGACUGAGAUACGGCCCAGACUCCUACGGGAGGCAGCAGUGGGGAAUAUUGCACAAUGGGCGCAAGCCUGAUGCAGCGACGCCGCGUGGGGGAUGACGGCCUUCGGGUUGUAAACUCCUUUCGCUAGGGACGAAGCGUUUUGUGACGGUACCUGGAGAAGAAGCACCGGCUAACUACGUGCCAGCAGCCGCGGUAAUAC